Molecule: long non-coding RNA, 1372 nt
Organism: Zootermopsis nevadensis
Lineage: Eukaryota; Metazoa; Arthropoda; Insecta; Blattodea; Termopsidae
Source: RefSeq, a predicted model, not a curated record
GCUUCGAGGCCCUGAUGAGGCAGUACGAAGGACAGUCUGUGUGUGUCCGCCGGGCAGAGAACGACUCGAGGAGAGAGAGCUUGAAGACAAGAUAGGUCUGAUGUUUGAGUUUGUUUGACGUGACUAGUCCCACCGGACCCUGAGACUUGGCAAAGGUUGGACGCCCUUGGCACAGUGUCUUCGACGAGUGGUUCCAGCGGUUAUCCACCCUCUCGUCGUAAUUGAAACGACUUGAGGGAAGUGCCUCUGCCAGCAGGCUAGCCGGAGAAGACUGCCCGAUGGACACAAACAGACCUCUAAUCUCCAUUAUCAUGCAAGGCGAGAUGUUUCCGUUUGUAAUCAUGGAAUUAUAUGGCACGUUACUUCACAACUGUGUUGGUCGCGUUGCGUCUGUUCACCUGAGCGAUGGACAGCUCCGACUGAAUUCUACUCCGUGGCCUGCGGAUGGCGUCUCCUCGUGCCUUGUUAACCCUGUGCCAGUGCGACAUACGUCGGACUGGACUUGCUACUGUGACCCAUUUGGUAGCGGUCGUCUCAAGGAAGAGUGGAUACAUUGGCAUAAUUCAUAUAUAUUUCUUUUGAAUGGUGUUACAUAAGCUGUCAUGGAGGCUCGGGUUCCAUUUGGGAGAAGUCCGACAAGUACGUUGAUAUGCAUUUUUUUUUUUUUGACUUUUCGAUCGUGACUCUGUGUCUGUGUGUGCACUUUGGGUGCCCUGCUGUCAGGAGGAAGGUACCCUGAAGUAUAUGUCACGACAAAGCCAUGAAGAACUGUCUACAAAACGUGUGGACUAAUCCUCGUUGCCAGAAGUUGAUUCUACGGCUUCCUAAAGUCUAUGCAAUUGGUUGCACUUCCGCUCCUGUCUCAUCUUAAAUCGAACUCUCGCUGUUGCCAGUUACAUCUGAUCGUAAAGAUGACUUCUCAGAGGACAUACAUCGCAUAGUGGCAUCUCUUCAUUUGAGACCAACGUGUCUGGUCAACCCCGAAGGCAGGGAGCUGUUUAAUAGCGGACCGGAAGUCAUCUUCGAUCCAAACAACACUCAUUUUGACUUCACACUGACAUUUUCUUCCAUUUUAUUUUAAAAUUGUAGGAGAUAUUUAAAAAUUAAUUAAUGUCUUUAUCAAAUAGGCUGUUCUGUUAUGAUUCUCAGGUUUAUGACAGAUUAGUUGCUAGCAUCAAAUUUAAUAAAAAUGCCAGUCAUGGGGAAGAAAGACAGCGAACGAACAAAAACAUAUCAAAUUUAACAUGUUCUUGUUCCACUGUAAAAUGUAACUAAGUGAUGUUAUCCCAUUUCACUUGCACUGAACUUACAGGAGUUAGAUCAUUACAGUAUCUCCACUUUAAAUAUUUUGCAAAUCUUGGUCACCACAAAC